Molecule: ribosomal RNA, 293 nt
Filed under: uncultured prokaryote
Description: partial 16S ribosomal RNA
Rfam family: Archaeal small subunit ribosomal RNA
Source: RNAcentral
GUGCCAGCCGCCGCGGUAAUACCGGCAGCCCGAGUGAUGGCCGAUUUUAUUGGGCCUAAAGCGUUCGUAGCUGGCCCCACAAGUCCGUUGGGAAAUCCGCGCGCUUAACGCGCGGGCGUCCAGCGGAAACUGUUCAGCUUGGGAGCGGAUCACCUGAGGGGUACGUCUGGGGUAGGAGUGGAAUCCUGUUAUCCUCCACGGACCGCCGGUGGCGAAAGCGCCUCAGGAGAACGGAUCCGACAGUGAGGGACCUAAGCUAGGGUCUCGAACCGGAUUAGAAACCCCGGUAGUCC